Molecule: ribosomal RNA, 421 nt
Filed under: uncultured bacterium
Lineage: Bacteria
Description: bacterial SSU rRNA
Rfam family: Bacterial small subunit ribosomal RNA
Source: RNAcentral
AAGGAAUAUUGGUCAAUGGACGCAAGUCUGAACCAGCCAUGCCGCGUGGAGGAUUAAGGCCCUCUGGGUUGUAAACUCCUUUUAUCUGGGAAGAAAUGUACUUUUUCUUGAGUACUUGACGGUACCAGAGGAAUAAGCACCGGCUAACUCCGUGCCAGCAGCCGCGGUAAUACGGAGGGUGCAAGCGUUAUCCGGAUUCACUGGGUUUAAAGGGUGCGUAGGCGGGCUUGUAAGUCAGUGGUGAAAUCUCUCAGCUUAACUGAGAAACUGCCAUUGAUACUGCAGGCCUAGAGUAUAGAUGACGUUGGCGGAAUAUGACAUGUAGUGGUGAAAUACUUAGAUAUGUCAUAGAACACCGAUUGCGAAGGCAGCUAACGAAACUAUAACUGACGCUGAGGCACGAAAGUGCGGGGAUCAAACA